UACGUAGGGUGCAAGCGUUGUCCGGAAUUAUUGGGCGUAAAGAGCUCGUAGGCGGCUUGUCGCGUCGGCUGUGAAAACCCGGGGCUCAACCCCGGGCCUGCAGCCGAUACGGGCAGACUAGAGUUCGGCAGGGGAGACUGGAAUUCCUGGUGUAGCGGUGAAAUGCGCAGAUAUCAGGAGGAACACCGGUGGCGAAGGCGGGUCUCUGGGCCGAUACUGACGCUGAGGAGCGAAAGCGUGGGGAGCGAACAGG
This 253-nucleotide ribosomal RNA is filed under the name uncultured bacterium. RNAcentral's name for it is "partial 16S ribosomal RNA". It matches the Rfam family "Bacterial small subunit ribosomal RNA", at positions 524 to 776 of the family's 1533-position model. The record is from RNAcentral.